RNAcentral lists this transfer RNA (74 nucleotides) under Rickettsiaceae bacterium. Its description in RNAcentral is "tRNA-Cys". It matches the Rfam family "tRNA". From Rfam's summary of the family: Transfer RNA (tRNA) molecules are approximately 80 nucleotides in length. The record is from RNAcentral. Lineage: Bacteria; Pseudomonadati; Pseudomonadota; Alphaproteobacteria; Rickettsiales; Rickettsiaceae.
GGCUGGGUAGCAAAAUGGUAAUGCCGUGGACUGCAAAUCCUCUAUCGCCGGUUCGAUUCCGGCCCUGGCCUCCA